This 200-nucleotide ribosomal RNA is filed under the name uncultured bacterium. RNAcentral describes it as "partial 16S ribosomal RNA". It matches the Rfam family "Bacterial small subunit ribosomal RNA", at positions 8 to 219 of the family's 1533-position model. The record is from RNAcentral.
AGAGUUUGAUCCUGGCUCAGGACGAACGCUGGCGGUGUGCUUCACACAUGCAAGUCGAACGAGGUAGCAAUACCUAGUGGCGGACGGGUGAGUAACGCGUGGGAAUCUGCCUUGAGAUGGGGGAUAGCUGGCCGAAAGGCUAAUUAAUACCGCAUAAGUGCAUAACUCGACAGGGUCAUGCAUAAAAGGAGCAAUCCGUC